GUUCUCUGGACUGGGCUUCCCAACGACGUGGCCCAAGACCUGCCAUUUAUGUUUUUAUCUGUCCAAUAAGGAUGAUAUGAUUGUACCAUUGCCCUCACGCAGAGGUUUGAAGUGGCUGAAGAGGCAAGAGGCUUGAGCUGCGUUGCGGUUUGGGUCACCCUUCCUGCUUAACAAGCCCCUGCACCCAGUAGGGGCUGUGGCUACUCAACUCCAAGAGUCCUUGUGCAGCAGCGGGCUGUGAAGCUGGAGAGUUCGCAGACAGAGUCUCACUUUGUCACCUGGGCUAGAGUGCAGUGGCUCGAUCUCAGCUCAAAAGUGAUCCUGCGUCAAGUAAUUCUUCUGCCUUAGCCUCCCGAGUAUCUGGAAUUACAGGCACCUGCCACCAUGCCCAGUGGACAUUCCAGGAAGGUCCAUCCUGCCUAUCAUCACAUGUCCAGUGCAUAAGACUGUUCCUGACACAUACUAGACACUCCGUCAAUGUCUCUGGACUGAACAAAUGGUGAGAUUUGAUGCCAAAUGGAGUAGGAAAAAACUGCAACCCCAGCCGUCCCCAAAAGGGCGAACAUCUUAAAUCCAUAAGUCAUGCCAACUUUGAAGGUUUUAUUCAACGUUUGAAUCAUGCUCAAACUUGCAGACUUGACUUAGAGCUUAGAUGCUUCAUCUCCAAAGGAAGCUGGCCGUGGAGUAUAACAGGAAAUCUAGUAAGCAAUCUGGAGUUUUCCUCUAGAAAGUGCUGUGGUCUCAAAGUACAGUCCUGGUAUCUGGACACAACGCCACAAAGGUUGCGGCACAGAGGCGCUAAACCCCAUACUCUGAUGGUGUAG
RNAcentral lists this long non-coding RNA (824 nucleotides) under Callithrix jacchus (white-tufted-ear marmoset). Its description in RNAcentral is "lncRNA (ENSCJAG00000071313.1)". Lineage: Eukaryota; Metazoa; Chordata; Mammalia; Primates; Cebidae. The record is from RNAcentral.